UGGGGAAUUUUGGACAAUGGGCGCAAGCCUGAUCCAGCCAUGCCGCGUGCGGGAAGAAGGCCUUCGGGUUGUAAACCGCUUUUGUCAGGGAAGAAAUCUUCUGAGUUAAUACCUCGGGAGGAUGACGGUACCUGAAGAAUAAGCACCGGCUAACUACGUGCCAGCAGCCGCGGUAAUACGUAGGGUGCAAGCGUUAAUCGGAAUUACUGGGCGUAAAGCGUGCGCAGGCGGUUUUGUAAGACAGAGGUGAAAUCCCCGGGCUCAACCUGGGAACUGCCUUUGUGACUGCAAGGCUUGAGUGCGGCAGAGGGGGAUGGAAUUCCGCGUGUAGCAGUGAAAUUGCGUAGAUAUGCGGAGGAACACCGAUGGCGAAGGCAAUCCCCUGGGCCUGCACUGACGCUCAUGCACGAAAGCGUGGGGAGCAAACAGGAUUAGAUACCCUGGUAGUCCACGCCCUAAACGAUGUCAACUGGUUGUUGGGAAGGUUCCUUCCCAGUAACGUAGCUAACGCGUAAGUUGACCGCCUGGGGAGUACGGCCGCAAGGUUGAAACUC
This 554-nucleotide ribosomal RNA is filed under the name uncultured bacterium. RNAcentral describes it as "partial 16S ribosomal RNA". It matches the Rfam family "Bacterial small subunit ribosomal RNA", at positions 355 to 902 of the family's 1533-position model. The record is from RNAcentral.